Molecule: ribosomal RNA, 245 nt
Filed under: uncultured Bulleidia sp.
Lineage: Bacteria; Bacillati; Bacillota; Erysipelotrichia; Erysipelotrichales; Erysipelotrichaceae
Description: partial 16S ribosomal RNA
Rfam family: Bacterial small subunit ribosomal RNA
Source: RNAcentral
UACGUAGGUGGCGAGCGUUAUCCGGAAUUAUUGGGCGUAAAGGGUGCGUAGGCGGCGAGUUAAGUUUGUGGUGAAAGCGUGAGGCUCAACCUCAUUAAGCCAUAGAUACUGGCUUGCUAGAGUACUGGAGAGGGAAGUGGAAUUCCAUGUGUAGCGGUAAAAUGCGUAGAUAUAUGGAGGAACACCGGUGGCGAAGGCGGCUUCCUAGCCAGUAACUGACGCUGAGGCACGAAAGCGUGGGGAGC